This 195-nucleotide ribosomal RNA is filed under the name Triticum aestivum (bread wheat). Its description in RNAcentral is "partial small subunit ribosomal RNA". The record is from RNAcentral. Lineage: Eukaryota; Viridiplantae; Streptophyta; Magnoliopsida; Poales; Poaceae.
AUGGACCCUCUUCAAUUCUGCAUCCGUUGCGGCCGCCGCAGCUUCCACCUCCAGAAGAGCACCUGCUCCUCGUGCGGUUACCCUGCCACCCGCAUCCGCAAGUGUAAGCUCCCCUCACUCCGUCCUAGAUCUCUAGGUCUGUUGCUGUCAUGCGCCAUGUUCUUGAUGUUGCCCGACCUCAUGUGGAUGCCAUGA